This 337-nucleotide unclassified non-coding RNA is filed under the name soil metagenome. Its description in RNAcentral is "partial contains 5.8S ribosomal RNA, internal transcribed spacer 2, and large subunit ribosomal RNA". The stretch from base 1 to 120 matches the Rfam family "5.8S ribosomal RNA", at positions 35 to 154 of the family's 154-position model. The record is from RNAcentral.
GAUGAAGAACGUAGUGAAAUGCGAUAAGUAAUGUGAAUUGCAGAAUUCAGUGAAUCAUCGAAUCUUUGAACGCAACUUGCGCCCUCUGGUAUUCCGGAGGGCAUGCCUGUUUGAGUGUCAUGUAGACUCAAUCCCUCGGGUUUCUGAGGAGGUUGGAUUUGGGUGCUUGCCUUCUGGCUCGCCUUAAAGGACUUAGCAGGAUAGCACUGUAGUCGACGUAAUAAGUCUCGUCGGUGAAAGUGUGAUGUCUGCUUACAGAUUGCCCUUGGGCACUUUUGACUCUGACCUCAAAUCAGGUAGGACUACCCGCUGAACUUAAGCAUAUCAUAACGGAGGA